Cavia porcellus (domestic guinea pig) is the source of this 310-nucleotide unclassified non-coding RNA. Its record names the gene 7SK. It matches the Rfam family "7SK RNA". From Rfam's summary of the family: 7SK was discovered as an abundant small nuclear RNA in the mid-70s but a possible function has only recently been suggested. Two independent studies have found that 7SK RNA binds the CDK9/cyclin T complex (known as elongation factor P-TEFb). The record is from Ensembl. Lineage: Eukaryota; Metazoa; Chordata; Mammalia; Rodentia; Caviidae.
GGAACUGAGGGUGACCUGGCUAUGAUCGCUGUCACCCAGAUUGCCAGGGUUGAUAUUGGUUGAUGCAGCUGGCCAGGUGGGUGUCCCCUUCCUCCCUCAACAUACCAUGUGUGCCCUUCCCACUUGUGUCCCUAACGUGCUUGGGUGAAGAGGACAAGUAUCCCUGAUUGAGGGCUGUUCUGGGUCAAGGGCAUCCAAGCAUCUGCUUUUCCUGGCUAGAAGCUCCAAACAAACUCUCAAGGAAGGGGCCUCCCGUCCCCACACUCUCCCACUUACAGCUCAGGCCAGACCCAAGCAGGCAGGCCAGGCU